Long non-coding RNA from Callithrix jacchus (white-tufted-ear marmoset), 1327 nucleotides. RefSeq lists it as uncharacterized. The record is from RefSeq and is a predicted model, not a curated record. Lineage: Eukaryota; Metazoa; Chordata; Mammalia; Primates; Cebidae.
CGCAGAUGGAGAAGCGCGCGGGAGGGUGCGAGCGGCGGGGAGGGGCGCAGGCUAGGGAGAGACAAACGGAAAAGGAGGGAAGGAGAUCAAAGAGACAAAGAGAGGAAAACAUGAGAAAGGGAGGCUGAGAAAGGGAAAAAGAGCCAGGAGAGUCCAGAGAAAGGAAACCAAGGGAGAGGGAGAGACUGAAGAGAGGAAUGGAAAAGACUGAAAAAGAUAGCAAGGGGUGGAUUAGGAAACAGAGAAGGGGAAAUAAAAGGAGGGGAGAAAAUGAAUCCAAAGAGGAUGCUAAAAAGGAGGAAAGAGAGAGGUCUGGUAGAGAGGCAGACUCGUGAAAGGAACGUGGGCGAGGGAGUGCUCCAUGUGUCCUGAGCCCUCUCUGUGCCCUGAGCCACAGGGGUGUGCCUCUAGAAUGACUCCUUGACCCCCUCCUCCCCACCCUUAUCCCUGCUGCCUGCUCCCAGUGGACUGCAGGAUGCAGCCCUCAGCCUCACCCUGCUGACCUCUGGCUCCUGCUUAGCUCAGGAACUGUGGACUCAGAACAAAGUUUGAGGUUCUGCUUCUCCGAUUCACCCCUUUCUCCUUCCUGAUUACUGGCAUGGAGCCAGGCACUGCAGGACGGAAAUCAGUGCCAACAAGUAGCUCUGGGAACAGAUUUGAUUUCCUACUGUCACCCUGGGGAGACAGCCCCUGUCUCCUAAGCACCCUGUGUGGAAACCAAGACUUUAUGGAUAGUACUGAAUAUGUGUUUCCAAUGAGAAGUAACAGCUGCAAACUCAUUUGGAUGAUUAAGAUGGCUCAGAUCAGCAACCUUGAGCAAGAUCCAGAAAAUAAAAAAAUCUGUCAGCACUACUACAGGAGGUUGCCAGAACAGGAAGUUGCCAGACAGAGGGGAAGUGCCAGCAGCCAGGGUCCUCUGGCCCAGGUGCAUCUGAAGCGUCCAGGUGAGAACAGAACUGCCAGAUGGAAGACACAUGGUGACGGCUGGGAGGGCCAAGGGCUUUGCACCUUGUCCAGGGGUAGGAAAAAUGCAGUCUGCUGAAGUGUGAACCAGAUGGAAAUGUAUUCUCACAUUUCUCUUCCUUCUUCUGAGACAUGGUGGACCUUGGAUUCCCAUACAGGUUUCUCCAUAGCAGGGUAGGAAUUUGUCCCACAUGCAGGGAUGAGCCAGCCCCAGGAAGAGCAGUGGGCUGGACCAGAGCUGCUUCAAGCUGAUGGCAUGGCAUUGAGAUGUUUGUCCUAAUCUGUAAAACCUAUUUUCCCGCUCAAGGUGGUACCAUGUUGCAGCUUGUCUAUACAGACUUUCUAAAUAAGACUUGGGAAGUUU